This 1250-nucleotide ribosomal RNA is filed under the name metagenome. RNAcentral describes it as "SSU rRNA". It matches the Rfam family "Eukaryotic small subunit ribosomal RNA", at positions 582 to 1823 of the family's 1831-position model. The record is from RNAcentral.
AUUCCAGCUCCAAUAGGAUAUAUCAAAGUUGUUGCAGUUAAAAAGCUCGUAGUUGAAUUUCUGGAAGGUAGAAGUGUUUUUUUUAGAGAAGCAAUUUUUUAUGAAAGACACCGCUUUCCAUUUUGUGGAUUUCUGUUUUGUAUGAGAUAGUUUACUCUAUUUUAUAUAAAAUACCACUCCGUCACUGAGAGCAAAUUGGAGUGCUCAAAGCAGGCUUUAUUAGCUUUGAACAUUUUAGCUUGGAAUGGCAAGAUAUGACUUUUGUUUUAUUUUGUUGGUUAUGAAAUAAAAGUAAUGAUUAACAGGAACAGUUGCGGGGGUACUCGUAUUGAAAGGUCAGAGGUGAAAUUCUUGGAUUCUUUCAAGACGAACGACUGCGAAAGCAUUUACCAAGGAUGUUUUCAUUAAUCAAGGACGAAAGCUCGGGGAUCGAAGAUGAUUAGAUACCAUCGUAGUCCGACGCCAUAAACGAUGCCGACUCGGGAUUAUUUUGUUAGUUUAAAUAAAAAAGAACACAAAGUAGCACCGUAUGAGAAAUCAAAGUCUUUGGGUUCCGGGGGGAGUAUGGUCGCAAGGCUGAAACUUAAAGGAAUUGACGGAAGGGCACACCAGAGGUGGAGCCUGCGGUUUAAUUUGACCCAACACGGGGAAACUUACCAGGUCCAGACAUGAUGAGGAUUGACAGUUUGAAAGCACUUUCUUGAUUUCAUGGGUGGUGGUGCAUGGCCGUUCUUAGUUGGUGGAGUGAUUUGUCUGGUUGAUUCCGAUAACGAACGAGACGGGGUGAAUUUACUAGUUUGUUAUAUAAUUUACGUUAUAUAAGACUUCUUUAUUCGACAACUUGGUUUUACCAAGAGGAAGCGCCCCGCAAUAACAGGUCUGUGAUGCCCUUAGAUGUUCUGGGCUACACGCGCGCUACAAUGACGAAUUCAACGAGUUUAAAAUUUAUUCCUUAUCCGGAAGGAUGUGGGUAAUCUUUUCAAUAUUCGUCGUGAUGGGGCUAGAUUUUUGCAAUUAUUAAUCUUCAACGAGGAAUCUCUAGUAUGUGCAAGUCAUCAGCUUGCGCAGAAUGCGUCCCUGCCCCUUGUACACACCGCCCGUCGCACCUACCGAUUGGACGAUCCGGCAAGAUGUUUGGAGUUGUCUUGAUUGUAGAGUAAUUUAUGAUGAAAAUGACAAAGCUCUUCAAACCUUAUCGUCUAGAGGAAGGUGAAGUCGUAACAAGGUCUCCGUAGGUGAACCUGCGGAGG